GGCUCCGUAGCUUGGAGGAAAGAAGCGCCCGUCUAGCUAAUCGGGAGUCGUGGGUUCGAUUCCCACCGGAGCAC
Molecule: non-coding RNA, 74 nt
Organism: Aedes albopictus (Asian tiger mosquito)
Lineage: Eukaryota; Metazoa; Arthropoda; Insecta; Diptera; Culicidae
Source: Rfam